RNAcentral lists this long non-coding RNA (1424 nucleotides) under Pogona vitticeps (central bearded dragon). RNAcentral describes it as "lncRNA (ENSPVIG00000023046.1)". Lineage: Eukaryota; Metazoa; Chordata; Lepidosauria; Squamata; Agamidae. The record is from RNAcentral.
CUCCUCCUGGCUUUGACCCCUGGACUGUCUGACCAUGAUUUGCAUCAUUCUUCUAUCCAGGUGCUGUUUGGAUUCAAACCCCCAGCUGGUUGGUUUCUGCUUGAGCUGUGGGGUUGGUUCUACCUUGUUCCUGUGAUCUUGCUCUGGACUGGGUCCUGGUGCCUCUUCUACUGAACCUUGACAGCCUUACUUUUAAAAAUAAGUUCCUUAUAAUCUUGCACUCCUAAAUAGUUAUUCAUUUAUGGAUCCAAGGUCAUCUUCUGUUACUACUUUCAAAUUGUGGCAUAUGCAAUCUAAAUGGAAGGAGGUGAAAAUAUGGCAUUCUGCAUGCAUGUGGUUGCCAGGUUUAAGGGCACCAAUUCAAGUCUCAAAGAACUGCUGUGCUUGGGUCUUUAGGCCAGAAGACAGACAUGUCUCCAGGUAAGCAGUGCUGAAGGAGCAGAAUGUGAGAUUUUUGAAUUUGAGAUCAUUUUAAAGCCUAGAUGACUAACUUAAUUCAUUCCUAGAUGGCUCAAUGGAUCAUGGUAAAGGUGCUUAUAUGUGUGUUUUGCUUGUUCAGCGUUAACACUCCAGAGAUGGAAGUCAUGAUGUGAGAAGUCCAAGGAGACAGUUGGUGUGCACGAAUCUUCAGAGUCAUGGCUUCUUGAAUAAGCACCGGCAACAGCAAAACAGGGCCGAGAAAAAAAAAAAUAUGUGGCCUCAUGGUGAGCGUUCCCCAAGUCCACACAUUGGUGUCGGGCUUGGAAAAAAUCCCCAUGAUUCACGUGUUCUGUAUGUAGGUAAGGCUGUACAAAUAUGUCAGCCCAAAUAGGAAUGCCAGAAACUGUCACAGCUGUUGGAUACCGUUUCACAUCUGCAGAAGAAACCAGUUUGUUUGUUUGUUCCUGGAGCUGAGGUCUAAAGCCAUUUUUUGUUCCUGGAUACCUGUCAUGCCCAUCUCCACAAUCAGCUUGCCAGAAUUAGUUUUGGCCUGACCGUUUCCUGACCCACCCCUCUGACAUCAGACGGGCUUGCCUUCUGGUCUCAAGUUUUUGCCCCUGAAUCUCAGAGAAUGGAAUGCUGAUGAUCUGCCAAUUCUAGGCAGGAAAUAUCAAAAUGUUACAAGAUUCGUUCAUUCAUUUCUAAUUCCCCAAUUAUGUUAGUUAUAAGCAUAAUCGGAGAAUUAGAACUCUUGUUUGAUAGAAGUUAUAAGCAUAAUUGGAGAAUUAGAACUCUUGUUUGAUAGAAGUGUAUACCAAUGAACAGCAGUCUCUUAUUUGCUUGUAGUAAGGAUUUUAGGAUUUCUUUUGAUAUGUUUUUUAACAAUUCAGAACAAACCCUUCUAUUUCUGGGAUUUUUUUUUCUUAUUUAAUUGUCAGCAAACAAUUGUGACUUGUAUCAAAUUUAUGGUCAAUUACCCAAAGCAACUCUUUGACUUAAUUUAG